GAUGAACGCUGGCGGCGUGCCUAAUACAUGCAAGUCGAGCGAACGGACGAGAAGCUUGCUUCUCUGAUGUUAGCGGCGGACGGGUGAGUAACACGUGGAUAACCUACCUAUAAGACUGGGAUAACUUCGGGAAACCGUAGCUAAUACCGGAUAAUAUUUUGAACCGCAUGGAUCAAAAGUGAAAGACGGUCUUGCUGUCACUUAUAGAUGGAUCCGCGCUGCAUUAGCUAGUUGGUAAGGUAACGGCCUACCAAGGCAACGAUGCAUAGCCGAGCUGAGAGGGUGAUCCGCCACACUGGAACUGAGGCACGGUCCAGACUCCUACGGGAGGCAGCAGUAGGGAAUCUUGCACAAUGGGCGAAAGCCUGAUCGAGCCAUCCCGCGUGGGUGAAGAAGGCCUUCGGGUUGUAAAACUCUGUUAUUAGGGAAGAACAUAUGUGUAAGUAACUGUGCACAUCUUGACGGUACCUAAUCAGAAAGCCACGGCUAACUACGUG
This 497-nucleotide ribosomal RNA is filed under the name uncultured bacterium. RNAcentral describes it as "partial 16S ribosomal RNA". It matches the Rfam family "Bacterial small subunit ribosomal RNA", at positions 28 to 507 of the family's 1533-position model. The record is from RNAcentral.